Molecule: ribosomal RNA, 292 nt
Filed under: uncultured Planctomycetota bacterium
Lineage: Bacteria; Pseudomonadati; Planctomycetota
Description: uncultured planctomycete partial 16S ribosomal RNA
Source: RNAcentral
GGACUACCAGGGUAUCUAAUCCCGUUCACUCCCCUAGCUUUCGUGCCUCAGCGUCAGAAAAGGCCCAGUGUGCCGCUUUCGCUGCUGGCGUUCCUUCCGAUCUCUACACAUUUCACCGCUCCACCGGAAGUUCCACACACCCCUACCUCACUCAAGUCAUCCAGUAUCACGCGCAGUUUUCCGGUUGAGCCGGAAGAUUUCACACGUGACUUAGAUAACCGCCUACGCACCCUUUAAGCCCAGUGAUUCCGAAUAACGUUCGCACAGUUCGUAUUACCGCGGCUGCUGGCAC